CAACACCAGCACAAGCAGACAGCACAUUCACAAGUGUACAAUUAUCAGGCUUCACUUUAGCUCUCAGCAUAUCCUCAAAAAGAGCCAAAACUUCAGCAAACCUAUCAGCCUUAGUAUACCCACUAAUCAUAAUAUUCCACGAAACAACAUCUUUCACCAACAUUUCAUCAAACACUUUCCUUGCUUCAUCCACCAACCGUAUACCCAGUAAUCAUAACAUUCCACGAAACAACAUCUUUCACCAACAUUUCAUCAAACACUUUCCUUGCUUCAUCCACCAGCCCAACAUUCACAUAACCAGAAACC
This 306-nucleotide long non-coding RNA is filed under the name Nicotiana benthamiana. RNAcentral describes it as "long non-coding RNA (NBEN_LNC036333)". The record is from RNAcentral. Lineage: Eukaryota; Viridiplantae; Streptophyta; Magnoliopsida; Solanales; Solanaceae.